UGCACCCUGAGAGCUGGGGCAGGUCUCCCAUGGGACCUCAGUCUCUAACUCCGUGGAUGCAGG
Molecule: microRNA precursor, 63 nt
Filed under: Pteropus vampyrus (large flying fox)
Lineage: Eukaryota; Metazoa; Chordata; Mammalia; Chiroptera; Pteropodidae
Description: miRNA (ENSPVAG00000026419.1)
Source: RNAcentral